CGACAACAACGACAACAACGACAACAACAACAGAAAAUGCAUCUGUUGUUAUUAUCUCACCCGCAACCACUGCAACUACUAUAACAGGUCAUGGUCCACAAGAUUUAAAUGGCACAACUGCUGAGGUUUCUUUGACUUAUACAACACCGCUCACCAAAACUACUACAACCACCACAGUGGCUGAGAACACAGGAACUUCCACAACUGAUGUACAAACAACUGAUGAAGCAGUCUACCUGUUGAAUCAAACACAGGCUAUAUCUCUGCUCAACGCCUCUCAAGUGUCAGUGUUGGUUGAGACGCUGGAGAAGCAUCUGGACAGUCCCUCUGUUUCACCAUCAGUGGUAAUCAAAGUUGUCAGUAACUUGAUGGACAGUAACCCUGAGGCACUCUCUAAAUCUGCAAACAGGCUGAUUCACUUGGUGGAUGAUCUGGGUGUUAAACUGGCUGUCACUGGUGGCGAUGGAAUUCUGUCAACCAGUUCCUUAGUUGUUGCUGUGAAAACAGUGAAUGGGAGCAAC
Long non-coding RNA from Astatotilapia calliptera (eastern happy), 521 nucleotides. NCBI's taxonomy places the organism in Eukaryota, Metazoa, Chordata, Actinopteri, Cichliformes, Cichlidae. The record is from Ensembl.